RNAcentral lists this transfer RNA (63 nucleotides) under Gallerucida bifasciata. RNAcentral's name for it is "tRNA-Ile". The record is from RNAcentral. Lineage: Eukaryota; Metazoa; Arthropoda; Insecta; Coleoptera; Chrysomelidae.
AAGGAUAAUUUUGAUAGAAUUAAUCAUGUGUAUUACACCUUCAUAACAGGGAAUUUCAAUUAU